Molecule: unclassified non-coding RNA, 305 nt
Filed under: Micromonospora sp.
Lineage: Bacteria; Bacillati; Actinomycetota; Actinomycetes; Micromonosporales; Micromonosporaceae
Description: partial 16S-23S ribosomal RNA intergenic spacer
Source: RNAcentral
GGAGCCCGCGCUGCCCGAAUGUGGUGGCGGGGUGCUCAGAUGGCGGAGACACUGGUGAGUUUUUCCUCGGCAACGGCCGGGAUCCUUCUAGUACAGCUGCUCUUCGGGGUGGUGGGAACGAAGUCCUGGUGCGGCUGGGGGAAGGCGGAGAGCACCCUGUUGGGUCCUGAAGGAACAACCAUGGGUUGUUUUCUUCGGAGCCUUGUGCGGACGUGAGUCCGUGGAGGUUGCCAGGCAUGGCCUGGUCUCGCAAACGGCGACUCUUGUGGGUUGCAGGUGUGGGACUGUUCGGGUUGUGGGUUGGU